Molecule: non-coding RNA, 92 nt
Organism: Tribolium castaneum (red flour beetle)
Lineage: Eukaryota; Metazoa; Arthropoda; Insecta; Coleoptera; Tenebrionidae
Source: RefSeq, marked provisional
AUGUAUGUGUUGCAAUUUAGCAUCCUCCUCUUAGGAAUUUUAUAUUUGAGAAAUUUCUAGUGAGUGAGGAUGUUAAUUUUUGGCACAAAUCA